RNAcentral lists this ribosomal RNA (654 nucleotides) under uncultured Leptothrix sp. Its description in RNAcentral is "bacterial SSU rRNA". It matches the Rfam family "Bacterial small subunit ribosomal RNA", at positions 871 to 1532 of the family's 1533-position model. Lineage: Bacteria; Pseudomonadati; Pseudomonadota; Betaproteobacteria; Burkholderiales; Sphaerotilaceae. The record is from RNAcentral.
GCCUGGGAGUACGGCCGCAAGGUGAAACUCAAAGGAAUUGACGGGACCCGCACAAGCGGUGGAUGAUGUGGUUUAAUUCGAUGCAACGCGAAAAACCUUACCUACCCUUGACAUGCCUGGAAUCCUGCAGAGAUGUGGGAGUGCUCGAAAGAGAACCAGGACACAGGUGCUGCAUGGCCGUCGUCAGCUCGUGUCGUGAGAUGUUGGGUUAAGUCCCGCAACGAGCGCAACCCUUGUCAUUAGUUGCUACGAAAGGGCACUCUAAUGAGACUGCCGGUGACAAACCGGAGGAAGGUGGGGAUGACGUCAGGUCCUCAUGGCCCUUAUGGGUAGGGCUACACACGUCAUACAAUGGCCGGUACAGAGGGCUGCCAACCCGCGAGGGGGAGCUAAUCCCAGAAAACCGGUCGUAGUCCGGAUCGCAGUCUGCAACUCGACUGCGUGAAGUCGGAAUCGCUAGUAAUCGCGGAUCAGCUUGCCGCGGUGAAUACGUUCCCGGGUCUUGUACACACCGCCCGUCACACCAUGGGAGCGGGUUCUGCCAGAAGUAGUUAGCCUAACCGCAAGGAGGGCGCNUACCACGGCAGGGUUCGUGACUGGGGUGAAGUCGUAACAAGGUAGCCGUAUCGGAAGGUGCGGCUGGAUCACCUCCUU